UCUCGUGUGUUUUUGUUUGUUUUCGCUUGUCUGGUCGCUUUAAGCGCUGUCAGCGCCGCGCCAGAACCGAGAUGGAAGUUCUUCAAGAAGAUUGAAAAGGUGGGCCGCAACAUCAGAGACGGUAUCAUCAAGGCAGGUCCCGCCAUCGAGGUGUUGGGUGCAGCCAAGGCGCUGGGGAA
Spodoptera frugiperda (fall armyworm) is the source of this 179-nucleotide long non-coding RNA. RefSeq lists it as uncharacterized. The record is from RefSeq and is a predicted model, not a curated record. The transcript is spliced from 3 exons. Lineage: Eukaryota; Metazoa; Arthropoda; Insecta; Lepidoptera; Noctuidae.